Haliotis rufescens (red abalone) is the source of this 820-nucleotide long non-coding RNA. RefSeq lists it as uncharacterized. Lineage: Eukaryota; Metazoa; Mollusca; Gastropoda; Lepetellida; Haliotidae. The record is from RefSeq and is a predicted model, not a curated record. The transcript is spliced from 2 exons.
AGGUAAAUAAUUGAGUUAAGUAUGGUAAUAGGUCCUUAAGCUAACCUGAGCACUCUCUACUAAUCCUUAGGUAAAGUAAGGGGGAUAGUUAUGUAAGGUCUUUAGUGAUCUGGUCCAGCCACAGCUGAUAUUUUAGUCUUGUUGAGUACACUUUUAUCAUUUUAAUUGCAUAUUUCUUAUAAAGUAUAAGUUGCCGUAUGAUCCACAUGAUACGCAAUGUUGUAAAUAUAUUACUUAUUCUUCAAAGUCAUGAUACGUUAGUGAGUAGUGUGAUACUAAUUACACUGGCCAUGACUUAAUGUUAAGCAACCAUAUUGUUAUAAGGUGCUUUCAGUAAUUUAUAUAGUUUAUAGCUUGAAGCUGUACCUAUUAGAAUUGAUUUAUUAUUAGCAAUAAUUUAUAGCUUACAGCUAUAAAUGUAAUAAUAUAUUGUACAGUAUUUUAGUACACUAAGUCUUGUAUGAGUUAGUUGAUGAUUAUGUACAUAGUUCUAGGAAAGUAUUAGUAAAUAUGUACUGAUGUAGUGCAUAUAAAUAUUAGGUUUAUAUUACUGUGUGUGUGUGUGUGUGAGAAUGUGUGAGAGAGAGAAAGCGUCUGUGUGCGUAUUAUAUACAUUUUACUUAAUUGUGUCAUUUCAUUAUUAGGCAUAGAGGCACAUAUAAAGCCAUACUGUUGGCACUGACGUGAUGAGCCUGCGUCCCUGAGACGAGGGAAUUAUCAUCCAUAGCCAUAUUGUGGUGGGAUCUCCAUAUCCCUGAUAUGAACAGACCGAAUAAAUCCCAUGAACCCCCAAACAAGUAUUCGUCGUCAUUACCUAGAC